AUUGAACGCUGGCGGCAUGCCUUACACAUGCAAGUCGAACGGCAGCACGGGUGCUUGCACCUGGUGGCGAGCGGCGAACGGGUGAGUAAUACAUCGGAACGCACCUUAUCGCGGGGGAUAACGCAGCGAAAGCUGUGCUAAUACCGCAUACGCCCUGAGGGGGAAAGCGGGGGAUCGCAAGACCUCGCGCGAUUAGAGCGGCCGAUGCCUGAUUAGCUUGUUGGUGGGGUAAAAGCCCACCAAGGCGACGAUCAGUAGCUGGUCUGAGAGGACGAUCAGCCACACUGGGACUGAGACACGGCCCAGACUCCUACGGGAGGCAGCAGUGGGGAAUUUUGGACAAUGGGGGCAACCCUGAUCCAGCAAUGCCGCGUGAGUGAAGAAGGCCUUCGGGUCGUAAAGCUCUUUUGUCAGGGAAGAAACACCGGCUCUAACACAGUCCGGGAAUGACGGUACCUGAAGAAUAAGCACCGGCUAACUACGUGCCAGCAGCCGCCGUAA
Molecule: ribosomal RNA, 501 nt
Filed under: uncultured bacterium
Lineage: Bacteria
Description: partial 16S ribosomal RNA
Rfam family: Bacterial small subunit ribosomal RNA
Source: RNAcentral